Molecule: RNA transcript, 1531 nt
Organism: Leptopilina heterotoma
Lineage: Eukaryota; Metazoa; Arthropoda; Insecta; Hymenoptera; Figitidae
Gene: Tsp97E
Gene name: tetraspanin-13
Exons: 7
Source: RefSeq, a predicted model, not a curated record
GGUCUGCUGUGUGCACAUACAUCAGAUCCAACAAAUAAUAUACAGAUGUUUUAUUAGUUUUAGAAGAUUGUGACGAAAUAAAUCCUCUUAAGUUAUUUCAUAUUUAAACUCGCAACGCAUUCGCGAGUGAUUCUUUUGUGAACAGUGUGUUAAAAUUGAAAUAACAGAAUACAAAAAAAGAUGUGUGGUGGAUUUACGUGCUCGAAAAAUGCAUUGACAGCACUCAACGUUUUAUAUAUCGUAAUUGCAUUCGUUUUAAUUGGAUCGGCCGUUUAUGGAAGGGCUUCGGCUUUGGUUACUGAUCUUCCAAUUAUUGGAGGUAUUUUAGCAUGUGGGGUAAUGCUGAUUUUAAUUUCAAUCCUUGGAUUAAUUGGUGCGAUUAAACAUCAUCAAGUACUACUGUUUUUCUAUAUGCUGAUACUUUUCUUAUUGUUCCUUGUUCAAUUCAGCAUAGCGUGCGCAUCUCUUUCAGUCAAUACAAAACAACAGGAGGAACUCGCCGAACAAGGCUGGAGAAAUGUUGGACCUGAUCUCAAGCAAAAAGUUCAGGAAACAUUUAGUUGUUGUGGUUUUAAUGAUACCUUGAGUAGUGUGCCUGUUUCACAAAAUUUACACUGUCCCGAGAUCUGCGCACAAAAUGGAUGUCCACCGUGUAUGCAAAAAUUACAAUCGACUAUUGAUUAUGCAUUUAAAUUAUGUGGAAGUAUAGGACUUUUCUUCAGUUUUACUGAGUUUGUUGGUGUCUGGUUGACGGUACGCUACAGGAACCAAAAAGACCCUCGAGCUAACCCUAGCGCUUUCCUCUAGUCUAAUACCAUCGCUAUGACUCCCGUUUUCUCGCAUGAUCAUCUUAACAGAUGGUGAUUGCGGCUUUCUUGGCAAUACGGUAUAGAAAUCAAUACGAUCCAGAAUUAAAAGCUGCCAGAGCUGUUUUUCCACGAGAUGAUUAUUUAUAUUGACAGAAACUUUUUUUUUUGUUUCAACAAUUUUCCCUUGAUUACUGAAACUUUAUAGGAUUGUUUACAAUCCAUCGACUUUAGAAAGAAAUCAUCAUCAAACAAACAUACUCUCGAUUAAAUUUUAUUUCUUCUUUUGUUUUAUAUAAAAUCACAAAGAAGUAAAUUUUUAUAAAUUUGACAAUUUAGAGGAGCAUGAAAUUUAAAUUACUAUCAUACUUCCAAGAAACUCGAUUUUAUUUCUUCUUUUAAUUAUUAACUGAAAAUAGUGAUAUUUUUACUGUACACAUUGCAUCUAUUUAAUCUUUUAUCUACUUUAGACAGAAGCUCAUAAUUUUUUAAGCCAAAGAUUUAUUUUUUAUUUAGAAAAUAGAAAAAUUUCAUUUAAUUCAAAGAUUGAAAAGGAAUUUUUUUUCUUUUUGUCUGUUCAAGAUCAUUUGACUAGUAUUUAAGAAUAGAAGUUGCUUCAUAUUUACAGAUCUCAAACAGAACGAUAGCGAACGUCAUAAUAUAACAAUCAUUCCAAUUUUACAUAUGUGAUAUUCAUAUACGGUCUAAGAAAAUCUGAAAUUGAU